This 644-nucleotide ribosomal RNA is filed under the name uncultured cyanobacterium. Its description in RNAcentral is "bacterial SSU rRNA". It matches the Rfam family "Bacterial small subunit ribosomal RNA", at positions 126 to 804 of the family's 1533-position model. The record is from RNAcentral. Lineage: Bacteria; Bacillati; Cyanobacteriota.
CUGGCUUCAGGUUCGGGACAACAGUUGGAAACGGCUGCUAAUACCGGAUGUGCCUUAGGGUGAAAGAUUUAUCACCUGAAGAUGAGCUCGCGUCUGAUUAGCUAGUAGGUGUGGUAAGAGCGCACCUAGGCGACGAUCAGUAGCUGGUCUGAGAGGAUGAUCAGCCACACUGGGACUGAGACACGGCCCAGACUCCUACGGGAGGCAGCAGUGGGGAAUUUUCCGCAAUGGGCGAAAGCCUGACGGAGCAAUACCGCGUGAGGGAGGAAGGCUCUUGGGUUGUAAACCUCUUUUCUCAGGGAAGAAUAAUGACGGUACCUGAGGAAUAAGCAUCGGCUAACUCCGUGCCAGCAGCCGCGGUAAUACGGAGGAUGCAAGCGUUAUCCGGAAUGAUUGGGCGUAAAGCGUCCGCAGGUGGCAAUGUAAGUCUGCUGUCAAAGCGUCUGGCUCAACCAGAUAAAGGCAGUGGAAACUACAUAGCUAGAGUAAGGUAGGGGUAGAGGGAAUUCCUGGUGUAGCGGUGAAAUGCGUAGAGAUCAGGAAGAACACCGGUGGCGAAAGCGCUCUGCUGGACCUAAACUGACACUGAGGGACGAAAGCUAGGGGAGCGAAUGGGAUUAGAUACCCCAGUAGUCCUAGCCGUA